GAUGAACGCUAGCGGCAGGCUUAAUACAUGCAAGUCGUACGGGAUCCGAGGUAGCAAUACUUUGGUGAGAGUGGCGCACGGGUGCGUAACACGUAUGCAACCUACCUUUAACCGGGACACAACCUCGAGAAAUUGAGGCUAAUAUCCCAUAACACUGCGAGAUGGCAUCAUUUUGCAGUUAAAACUCCGGUGGUUAUUGAUGGGCAUGCGCGACAUUAGCUAGUUGGUGAGGUAACGGCCCACCAAGGCUACGAUGUCUAGGGGUUCUGAGAGGAUUAUCCCCCACACUGGUACUGAGACACGGACCAGACUCCUACGGGAGGCAGCAGUAAGGAAUAUUGGUCAAUGGGCGCAAGCCUGAACCAGCCAUGCCGCGUGAAGGAUGACGGCCCUAUGGGUUGUAAACUUCUUUUGUACGGGAAAAAACCACCGGUCGUGUAUCGGUGCUGAUGGUACCGUAAGAAUAAGCAUCGGCUAACUCCGUGC
RNAcentral lists this ribosomal RNA (486 nucleotides) under uncultured freshwater bacterium LCK-81. RNAcentral's name for it is "bacterial SSU rRNA". It matches the Rfam family "Bacterial small subunit ribosomal RNA", at positions 28 to 508 of the family's 1533-position model. The record is from RNAcentral.